RNAcentral lists this ribosomal RNA (406 nucleotides) under uncultured bacterium. RNAcentral's name for it is "partial 16S ribosomal RNA". It matches the Rfam family "Bacterial small subunit ribosomal RNA", at positions 30 to 526 of the family's 1533-position model. The record is from RNAcentral.
AUUGAACGCUGGCGGCAGGCCUAACACAUGCAAGUCGAGCGCGGGGCGGGCGGGUGAGAAAGGUAUGGGGAACUGCCUGAUGGAGGGGGAUAACUACUGGAAACCGUGGCUAAUACCGCAUAAUAUAGGAUGAAACCAUAUGGGAUUAGCUAGUAGGUGGGGUAACGGCUCACUAAGGCGACGAUCGCUCGCUGGUCUGAGCGGAUGAUAAGCCACACUGGUACUGAGACACGGCCCAGACUCCUACGGGAGGCAGCAGUGGGGAAUAUUGCACAAUGGGCGCAAGCCUGAUGCAGCCAUGCCGCGUGUAUGAAGAAGGCCUUAGGGUUGUAAAGUACUUUCAGCUGGGAGGCGUUACCCGCAGAAGAAGCACCGGCUAACUCCGUGCCAGCAGCCGCGGUAAGUC